CGCGUGUACUGGUCCGGCCGGGCCUUUCCCUCUGUGGAACCUCAUGCCCUUCACUGGGCGUGACGGGGAAACAGGACUUUUACUGUGAAAAAAUUAGAGUGCUCCAGGCAGGCCUAUGCUCGAAUACAUUAGCAUGGAAUAAUGAAAUAGGACGUGCGGUUCUAUUUUGUUGGUUUCUAGGACCGCCGUAAUGAUUAAUAGGGACAGUCGGGGGCAUCAGUAUUCAAUUGUCAGAGGUGAAAUUCUUGGAUUUAUUGAAGACUAACUACUGCGAAAGCAUUUGCCAAGGAUGUUUUCAUUAAUCAGGAACGAAAGUUAGGGGAUCGAAGACGAUCAGAUACCGUCGUAGUCUUAACCAUAAACUAUGCCGACUAGGGAUCGGACGAUGUAAAUAAUUGACUCGUUCGGCACCUUACGAGAAAUCAAAGUGUUUGGGCUCCAGGGGGAGUAUGGUCGCAAGGCUGAAACUUAAAGAAAUUGACGGAAGGGCACCACCAGGGGUGGAGCCUGCGGCUUAAUUUGACUCAACACGGGGAAACUCACCAGGUCCAGACACAAUGAGGAUUGACAGAUUGAGGGCUCUUUCUUGAUUUUGUGGGUGGUGGUGCAUGGCCGUUCUUAGUUGGUGGAGUGAUUUGUCUGCUUAAUUGCGAUAACGAACGAGACCUUAACCUGCUAAAUAGCCCGUAUUGCUUUGGCAGUACGCUGGCUUCUUAGAGGGACUAUCGG
RNAcentral lists this ribosomal RNA (729 nucleotides) under uncultured eukaryote. RNAcentral's name for it is "SSU rRNA". It matches the Rfam family "Eukaryotic small subunit ribosomal RNA", at positions 670 to 1426 of the family's 1831-position model. The record is from RNAcentral.